GACGAACGCUGGCGGCGUGCUUAACACAUGCAAGUCGAACGGUGAAGCUCCAGCUUGCUGGUGUGGAUCAUUGGCGAACGGGUGAGUAACACGUGAGCAACCUGCCCCUGACUCUGGAAUAAGCGCUGGAAACGGCGUCUAAUACUGGAUACGAGAAGGGUCCGCAUGGGCACUUUCUGGAAAGUUUUUCGGUUGGGGAUGGGCUCGCGGCCUAUCAGCUUGUUGGUGAGGUAAUGGCUCACCAAGGCGACGACGGGUAGCCGGCCUGAGAGGGCGACCGGCCACACUGGGACUGAGACACGGCCCAGACUCCUACGGGAGGCAGCAGUGGGGAAUAUUGCACAAUGGGCGAAAGCCUGAUGCAGCGACGCCGCGUGAGGGAUGACGGCCUUCGGGUUGUAAACCUCUUUCAGCAGGGAAGAAGCGAAAGUGACGGUACCUGCAGAAGAAGCACCGGCUAACUACGUG
Molecule: ribosomal RNA, 468 nt
Filed under: uncultured bacterium
Lineage: Bacteria
Description: partial 16S ribosomal RNA
Rfam family: Bacterial small subunit ribosomal RNA
Source: RNAcentral